RNAcentral lists this ribosomal RNA (326 nucleotides) under uncultured eukaryote. RNAcentral describes it as "partial 18S ribosomal RNA". It matches the Rfam family "Eukaryotic small subunit ribosomal RNA", at positions 1470 to 1796 of the family's 1831-position model. The record is from RNAcentral.
CCCUUAGAUGUUCUGGGCCGCACGCGCGCUACACUGAUGCAUUCAACGAGUUCCUACCUUGGCCGAGAGGCCUGGGCAAUCUUUUGAACUUGUAUCGUGAUAGGGAUAGAUUAUUGCAAUUAUUAAUCUUGAACGAGGAAUUCCUAGUAAACGCAGAUCAUCAAUCUGCAUUGAUUACGUCCCUGCCCUUUGUACACACCGUCCGUCGCACCUACCGAUUGAAUGGUCCGGUGAAGCCUCGGGAUUGUGGUUAGUUUCCUUCAUUGGAAGUUAGCCGCGAGAACUUGUCUAAACCUUAUCAUUUAGAGGAAGGUGAAGUCGUAACA